Molecule: ribosomal RNA, 481 nt
Filed under: uncultured bacterium
Lineage: Bacteria
Description: partial 16S ribosomal RNA
Rfam family: Bacterial small subunit ribosomal RNA
Source: RNAcentral
GAUGAACGCUGGCGGCGUGCUUAACACAUGCAAGUCGAACGAAGCACUUUAUUUGAUUUCCUUCGGGACUGAUUAUUUUGUGACUGAGUGGCGGACGGGUGAGUAACGCGAGGGUAACAUGCCUUGUACAGGGGGGUAACAGUUGGAAACGGCUGCUAAUACCGCAUAAGCGCACGGCAUCGCAUGAUGCAGUGUGAAAAACUCCGGUGGUAUAAGAUGGACGCGCGUUGGAUUAGCUAGUUGGUGAGGUAACGGCCAACCAAGGCGACGAUCCAUAGCCGACCGGGGAGGGGGACCGGCUAGAUUGGGACUGAGACACGGCCCCAACUCCGAGGGGAGGGAGCAGUAGGGAAUAUUGUAGAAGGGGCGAAAGUGUGAUGCAGCGACGUGGGGGGAGAGAAGAAGCAUUUCGGUAUGUAAAGCUCUAUCAGCAGGGAAGCUAAUGACGGUACCUGACUAAGAAGCACCGGCUAACUACGUG